UCCGAACCAUCUGAGUCUUGUUUCCCGCAUCUUGUCCUCCAUAGGCGCCACUCGCACCCUCUCUCUAAUAACUUCAUUCCUAAUCUUAUCCAUCCUUGUAUGCCCACACAUCCAUCUCAACAUCCUCAUCUCCACUACUUGCAUCUUCUGGAUGUAUGACUUCUUACCCGGCCAAUACUCGGUCCCAUACAAAAUGGUAGGUCUAACCACUGCUCUAUAAAACUUACCUUUUAGUAUCUGUGGCACUUUUCUAUCACACAGGACUCUCGUUUCUAACCUCCACUUCAUCCACCUCAUCCCUAUACGGUGUGUGACAUCCUCCUCGAUCUCCCCGGACCCCUGAAUAACUGACCCAAGGUACUUGAAACUACCCCUCUGAGGGAUGACUUGAGAGUCAAGCCUCACUUACACUCCUAUGUCCGUCGGUAAGUUUUAUAGAAGCGUGCAGAAAAUUAUUUAUUUCUUAGUAAAAAUCGGUAUUGUUUUAGACGAGUGAGAUAGUUCUGGUUUAAAGUUCCUAUAUGCAUGAUUUCUUUGAGUUACUAAUUUUAAUACCUUUACAAACGUUAACAGCCAUGUAGACAUAAUAUAUGUAUGCUGAUUUUUAUUGAACCUAGUGGUUUGCCAAAUUAAAAU
RNAcentral lists this long non-coding RNA (636 nucleotides) under Nicotiana benthamiana. RNAcentral's name for it is "long non-coding RNA (NBEN_LNC034957)". Lineage: Eukaryota; Viridiplantae; Streptophyta; Magnoliopsida; Solanales; Solanaceae. The record is from RNAcentral.